UAAGUGUGCUACAUGCCUAAUGCUUUCCAUGU
RNAcentral lists this non-coding RNA (32 nucleotides) under Homo sapiens (human). The record is from RNAcentral. Lineage: Eukaryota; Metazoa; Chordata; Mammalia; Primates; Hominidae.